Molecule: long non-coding RNA, 143 nt
Organism: Diceros bicornis minor
Lineage: Eukaryota; Metazoa; Chordata; Mammalia; Perissodactyla; Rhinocerotidae
Exons: 3
Source: RefSeq, a predicted model, not a curated record
AGUCAAAAACGUGGACCAGAGGACAGGGUUGGCUGUGAUAAAAUCUGUGCCCACCUCCCUGCCCAGGACACAUGAGGCGAUAUGGGCAGCAGCGUUAUUGAAAAAAGCCCCUACAGAAGAGUGUGACGAUAGUUCGGCCGUUC